RNAcentral lists this ribosomal RNA (253 nucleotides) under uncultured bacterium. RNAcentral's name for it is "partial 16S ribosomal RNA". It matches the Rfam family "Bacterial small subunit ribosomal RNA", at positions 524 to 776 of the family's 1533-position model. The record is from RNAcentral.
UACGGGGGGGGCAAGCGUUGUUCGGAAUUACUGGGCGUAAAGGGUUCGUAGGUGGCUCGCUAAGCCAGACGUGAAAUCCCUCAGCUUAACUGGGGAACUGCGUCUGGGACUGGCGAGCUCGAGUGCGGGAGAGGAAUGCGGAAUUCCAGGUGUAGCGGUGAAAUGCGUAGAUAUCUGGAGGAACACCGGUGGCGAAGGCGGCAUUCUGGACUGCAACUGACACUGAGGAACGAAAGCCAGGGGAGCAAACGGG